RNAcentral lists this non-coding RNA (82 nucleotides) under bovine gut metagenome. The record is from RNAcentral.
CAGCGGGGGUACCGGAUCCUGUCCGGUUGAGAUCAUACCCAAUGAACCUGAUGCGGGUAAUGCCGCCGUAGGGAAGCGAUUC